Molecule: long non-coding RNA, 1167 nt
Organism: Callithrix jacchus (white-tufted-ear marmoset)
Lineage: Eukaryota; Metazoa; Chordata; Mammalia; Primates; Cebidae
Source: RefSeq, a predicted model, not a curated record
UCCUUGUGCCAUAUAUAGAGCCAGAGAACAGCCACAGUGGAAAACAAGAUAUGGUCCCUGCCUUGUGGAAUUGAAAGUCUAGGGGUGAUUUUUAAAUGGGAUUACAUAAUUAUAGAGUAAAAUGAAGUGGAAAACUCUGUCUCUACAAGAGGAAAGGGGAAAUAUACAGCAGGAAGUAGAUGCUGUGUUGUCACGACAGCUCUUCAAGAUGGUGUUGAUUAUGGUCAUUUUACAAAUGAGGAAACUGAAGGUCAGAGAAGGCAGACAGCUUCUCUGAGUCACUAUAUGGAGGAGACCAAAGCCAGAGUGUGAUAGCCAAGGUCUCGCUCUGCUGCCCAGGUUGGAGUGCAGUGGCCUGACCACAACUCACUGCAACCUCAAUCUCCUUGGCUCAAGCAAUCCUCCUGCCUCAGCCUCCUGAGUAGCUGGGACUACAGAUGUGUGCCAUCACUACUGGCUGAUGUAGAGAUGGGGUCUUUCUAUGUUGCCCAAGCUGUCAGUCCUGAGAAUUUUGAUAAGUCUGUCUUCAAACAUUUCAUCAUAUCUAGCAAUUUGUCAAAAAUAUAGAUUUACUCAAAAUGUCAACUUCACAUCCCAGAGUCCUUGGGUAGUACAUAAUAUACAUAACAUGGGUAUUAGCCACAGUUCUCAAAGAGGAGAAAGAGUAAAGAAAAAUAAAGAUCCCUAACUAAUUAGAAAUGUCUGGUCUAUUUAUACAAGAAGUUAACAUUGGAGAUGUGGAACGUAUUCUGGAGUCAGAAGAAAUGAAUCAAAACACUCUGAGGGUAACUGGAGUAUUCUAUGCAUAUAUUCCUGAACUAUUUGUGUGUGUAUAGCUAUUGUUCUAUUUAAUUUUGUAUUGGAUCCAAGGGGUUCCAGCAUUCAUCAGUAGUCAUGAUAGAUUUGAACAAUAUGAACAGAGAAUUAUAUACCAGGCAGGAGCAUAUCAAACUAAUGCAUUGACAAGGGCAAUUCUUAGUGAUGUAUACUCUUUGCCUCAUGCAGUGAUUAUUGUGAUUUUUCUUUUCUUUCUUUGAGAAAUCAGUUAGAUUUACCAAAAAUAGCCAUACAUUUUAUAACAGAGUAUAGAGAGGGUGACUUUCUCCCAGCAUUACUUUAAAAAAAUCAAGUGAGAAAUCACUCAGGUUAAGAAAACCAUCUUACCUC